AUGUUACUAGAGACAUCUAAUCCCAAUACCCGAGUAUAGUACUUCAUAAUCCGACCAUGACAGUCAAGGUAGUUCAAGCCCACUUUAGAGAUCCACAUUUCUUUUUUUGAAAAUUUGGUAUCCGGCUUUAGGAUCGACUAAUUCAAUAGGACAAGAUCCACAUUUCUAUAUCUAGACGACCUAGUUCAUGAUCAUCAUCAUAUAUAAUUAACGAGAUAAUGACCAACCACAUAAUGCUGGAAAAGAUAAGAUGAAAGAUGAAAUAGAUUGAUUAAUUAUCUUUAAUUAUAAUAUGAUCUAAUUAUGAAAUUUGUUUGUGACCCCUUCCUCCUCGACUUGGACCAGAGUAUGCUUGAGCCAUGAUGAAGCGAUUGAAGGGGAAGGAAGUAGGUAAUGAAUGCCUCGAACUCGAACCCUCCACACACCAUGAUGAGAAUGAGAAACAAAAUAAGAUCAUAAGCAUCAAAGUAAUGACUAUGAGAACAUGAUGAUGUUUGGUGAACAAUAUGAAAUUCCUACAUUUCAUCUCUCUAUCGAUUUUUUUGCUCUUUACACACGUAGACUAAAAUUGUGUCUUCUAGUU
This 583-nucleotide long non-coding RNA is filed under the name Trifolium pratense (red clover). RNAcentral describes it as "long non-coding RNA (TPRA_LNC001605)". The record is from RNAcentral. Lineage: Eukaryota; Viridiplantae; Streptophyta; Magnoliopsida; Fabales; Fabaceae.